This 403-nucleotide unclassified non-coding RNA is filed under the name soil metagenome. Its description in RNAcentral is "partial contains 5.8S ribosomal RNA, internal transcribed spacer 2, and large subunit ribosomal RNA". The stretch from base 1 to 122 matches the Rfam family "5.8S ribosomal RNA", at positions 35 to 154 of the family's 154-position model. The record is from RNAcentral.
GAUGAAGAACGUAGCAAAAUGCGAUACUUGGUGUGAAUUGCAGAAUCCCGUGAACCAUCGAGUUUUUGAACGCAAGUUGCGCCCGAAGCCUUUUGGCCGAGGGCACGUCUGCCUGGGCGUCACGCAUCGCGUCGCCCCCCACAAUUCUCGUAAGGGGAACUCGUGUUUUGGGGGCGGAUAUUGGUCUCCCGUGCUCACGGCGUGGUUGGCCGAAAUAGGAGUCCCUUCGAUGGACGCACGAACUAGUGGUGGUCGUAAAAACCCUCGUCUUUUGUUUCGUGCUGUUAGUCGCAAGGGAAACUCUAAGAAAACCCCAGCGUGUCGUCUUUUGACGGCGCUUCGACCGCGACCCCAGGUCAGGCGGGACUACCCGCUGAGUUUAAGCAUAUCAAUAAGCGGAGGA